AAGCAUCCUUAAUAAACCCCCCAGUUGUCAUAUUGUGGUUCCUGGGACAAGAUAGGAUGCAAGAUCAAUCUUAGAACUAUCCAAAGCUAAGAGCCCUGUCAGUAGCUCUUGGCUAUUUCACCUCUAAGACAGAA
Platichthys flesus (European flounder) is the source of this 134-nucleotide small nucleolar RNA. RefSeq annotates it as small nucleolar RNA SNORA14. The record is from RefSeq and is a predicted model, not a curated record. NCBI's taxonomy places the organism in Eukaryota, Metazoa, Chordata, Actinopteri, Pleuronectiformes, Pleuronectidae. The transcript has a single exon.